This 407-nucleotide ribosomal RNA is filed under the name uncultured bacterium. Its description in RNAcentral is "bacterial SSU rRNA". It matches the Rfam family "Bacterial small subunit ribosomal RNA", at positions 355 to 776 of the family's 1533-position model. The record is from RNAcentral.
UAGGGAAUAUUGCACAAUGGAGGAAACUCUGAUGCAGCGACACCGCGUGAGUGAUGAAGGACUUCGGUUCGUAAAGCUCUGUCGUAUGGGAAUAAUAAAGUGAAGGUACCAUGCAAGAAAGGAUCGGCUAACUUCGUGCCAGCAGCCGCGGUAAGACGAGGGAUCCUAGCGUUGUUCGGAAUCAUUGGGCGUAAAGCGGAUGUAGGUGGCUCCGUAAGUCAGGUGUGAAAUCCCAGGGCUCAACCCUGGACGUGCAUUUGAUACUGCGGAGCUUGAGUGCUAGAGAGGCUAUUGGAAUUCCUGGUGUAGUGGUGAAAUACGUAGAUAUCAGGAGGAACAUCGGAGGCGAAGGCGGAUAGCUGGCUAGACACUGACACUCAGAUCCGAAAGCGUGGGGAUCAAACAGG